AAUUGAUUUUUCCCUGUCUCAGAAU
This 25-nucleotide non-coding RNA is filed under the name Cricetulus griseus (Chinese hamster). The record is from RNAcentral. Lineage: Eukaryota; Metazoa; Chordata; Mammalia; Rodentia; Cricetidae.